ACAACAUUCGGUCUGUCGGUCUACCGAGCAAUAUCAUCCGCUCAGCGAAAGAUCUUCCGUUCCUCGU
Molecule: microRNA precursor, 67 nt
Filed under: Bombyx mori (domestic silkworm)
Lineage: Eukaryota; Metazoa; Arthropoda; Insecta; Lepidoptera; Bombycidae
Description: mir-2774 microRNA precursor family
Rfam family: mir-2774 microRNA precursor family
Source: Rfam by way of RNAcentral